UACAAUGUCUACCACUUCUUUAUUUGAGAGAACAUCCCAAAUCCCAUCAGUGGCCAAAACUAUAAACUCAUCCUUAUCGGUCAGGCGCCGGAAGGAUAUAUCAGGCACAGAGAUAAGGCCAAAAUCCUUCAGGCAAAAAUCUCCAAAAGCUCGUGCCAUGGCAAGGCCAGGAGAGUCAUUAUUUGGUAGCCAGACCCUAGCUACCUCAGGUUCAUCAUGAAGAGCAAAAACGCGCCCUUUACACUUCCUAAUUCUUUCCUCUUC
This 264-nucleotide unclassified non-coding RNA is filed under the name Hevea brasiliensis (rubber tree). The record is from RNAcentral. Lineage: Eukaryota; Viridiplantae; Streptophyta; Magnoliopsida; Malpighiales; Euphorbiaceae.